AGAAACUACUGUGGCCGCGCAUGCGCACUAAAGCUCUUAGCACGCUUCCGGUGGCGGGAUGUCCACACUUUUUCCAGUGAGGGGGCCACAGACUGAAAAAUCAAAGGAGGCAAGGGCCAUUUUGAUGCAUUUGAGAGGCAGCAGGCAAAGGAAUGAUGAAAGCAUUCCCUCCACAACCAGAAAAAUGUGCACGGCCCCAAGUGAGAGCAGUUCCUGAACAGUUUCACUGAGCUGUGCCCGACCAGGUGCUUGCCCGCAAGCCUGCCCCCCGGCCCAAAACCACAUCCGGGAAAGCUGAAUUAGGAAGUUGCAAAGCAAGGUUGGUGGCAUGAACAAAGUCGCUCUCUCUCUGGUAACAGAGCAACGCAGGAAAUGAUCACUGAUCAGCGGGAGUGACACGCUAACAGCCAAUCAGUUUCACAAAUUCCUCAGUAAAUUCACCAGGUCGUCACUUUGGAGUUAUUGAGUCUGUUCAUCUGAUUGGAAUGCAAGCUUCCGCAGCUCGUCGGUCCAUGACGAUGACUUCUGUUUUGUUCGAUCUGCCGUUUUACUGUACAGACACCCUUUGGAAACAGUUAAGCUCAGGACUUAAACGGCGGCGCUGUACCUGGUUGUGCUGCCAAAGCCACAUGACAUCGUAUGGCAACUGGAAAUGGAUCCUCUUCAGCCUCAAGUACUUCCCUGCGGGACACAAGAGGAGUCGGAGGAUGAGAGCGUUCGAACCUGACGGCCAGACUUUGGCCUCGUGUCCACUCACCAACAUGGAUGGGCGCAGUGGAACCCGUUUAUGUCGACGCCCCUCGGACUGGCUGACUGAUGUUGACGUAGAUUUUUUCAGAGCAUUGAUUUCCGUUUCCACAGCAGCGAACUACCGACUUCUGGCAACAACUAUGUGGCCUACUUCGGGAAACCAAGGCGAGUUUGUUCCAAUCAUGGCAGAUUCGAAGGAAGAGUGAGACAUUGGAGCAGAUAGAAGAUGAGAGAGUGAGGUGAAAAUGACUCGACGCUGCAGAAUGUGCAACUCGACAUAAAUGGAGUGCUUGCCCAAAUAAAUCGGAAAAAACGUCCCCGGCCAGCUGGACCAAACGCACAACUGUCCAUUGAGGUCUACAUUGGAUGUCAAAGUUGACCAACUUGUCUGUUUAAAGCCACAUCCUUCUACUAUCCAGUUGGAUGUCAAAGUUGACCAACUUCUCCGUUUAAGGCCACAUCCUUCUACUAUCCAGUUAGAUGUCAAAGUUGACCAACUUGUCCGUUUAAGGCCACAUCCUUCUACUAUCCAGUUGGAUGUCAAAGUUGACCAACUUCUCCGUUUAAGGCCACAUCCUUCUACUAUCCAGGGUCUACAUUGGACGUCAAAGUUGACCAACUUGUCUGUUUAAGGCCACGUCCUUCUACUAUCCAGUUGGAUGUCAAAGUUGACCAACUUCUCCGUUUAAGGCCACAUCCUUCUACUAUCCAGAUGGAUGCAUCUGAAACCCUAAGUCAAGGUGACAAGCAGAUUUCCAUCCAUUUUCUACCGCUUGUCUCUUUCGGGGUCGCUGGAGCCUAUCUCAGCUACAUUCGGGCGGUA
Molecule: long non-coding RNA, 1573 nt
Organism: Nerophis ophidion (straightnose pipefish)
Lineage: Eukaryota; Metazoa; Chordata; Actinopteri; Syngnathiformes; Syngnathidae
Exons: 17
Source: RefSeq, a predicted model, not a curated record